UACGGGGGGGGCAAGCGUUGUUCGGAAUUACUGGGCGUAAAGGGUUCGUAGGUGGCCAACUAAGUCAGACGUGAAAUCCCUCAGCUUAACUGGGGAACUGCGUCUGAGACUGGAUGGCUUGAGUGCAGGAGAGGAACGCGGAAUUCCAGGUGUAGCGGUGAAAUGCGUAGAUAUCUGGAGGAACACCGGUGGCGAAGGCGGCAUCCUGGACCGGCAUUGACGCUGAGGAGCGAAAGCCAGGGGAGCAAACGGG
RNAcentral lists this ribosomal RNA (253 nucleotides) under uncultured bacterium. RNAcentral's name for it is "partial 16S ribosomal RNA". It matches the Rfam family "Bacterial small subunit ribosomal RNA", at positions 524 to 776 of the family's 1533-position model. The record is from RNAcentral.